RNAcentral lists this ribosomal RNA (260 nucleotides) under Cordyceps memorabilis. Its description in RNAcentral is "partial 18S ribosomal RNA". It matches the Rfam family "Eukaryotic small subunit ribosomal RNA", at positions 1179 to 1461 of the family's 1831-position model. Lineage: Eukaryota; Fungi; Ascomycota; Sordariomycetes; Hypocreales; Cordycipitaceae. The record is from RNAcentral.
GAGCCUGCGGCUUAAUUUGACUCAACACGGGGAAACUCACCAGGUCCAGACACAAUGAGGAUUGACAGAUUGAGAGCUCUUUCUUGAUUUUGUGGGUGGUGGUGCAUGGCCGUUCUUAGUUGGUGGAGUGAUUUGUCUGCUUAAUUGCGAUAACGAACGAGACCUUAACCUGCUAACUAGCCCGUAUUGCUUUGGCAGUACGCUGGCUUCUUAGAGGGACUAUCGGCUCAAGCCGAUGGAAGUUUGAGGCAAUAACAGGU